UGGCGGACGGGUGAGUAACGCGUGGAUAACCUGCCGUAUACAGGGGGAUAACACUUAGAAAUAGGUGCUAAUACCGCAUAAGCGCACGGUUCCGCAUGGAACAGUGUGAAAAACUCCGGUGGUAUACGAUGGAUCCGCGUCUGAUUAGCCAGUUGGUGGGGUAACGGCCCACCAAAGCGACGAUCAGUAGCCGGCCUGAGAGGGCGGACGGCCACAUUGGGACUGAGACACGGCCCAGACUCCUACGGAAGGCAGCAG
This 258-nucleotide ribosomal RNA is filed under the name uncultured bacterium. Its description in RNAcentral is "partial 16S ribosomal RNA". It matches the Rfam family "Bacterial small subunit ribosomal RNA", at positions 96 to 354 of the family's 1533-position model. The record is from RNAcentral.